GGUUGCGGACACAGGUCCGCGCUUAGGUUUAACCCUGCGGGCGCAGGUUGCGGACACAGGUCCGCGCUUAGGUUUAACCCUGCGGGCGCAGGUUGCGGACACAUGUCCGCGCUUAGGUUUAACACUGCGAGGGCAGGUUGCGGCCAGUGGGUCUGCGUCAUGUUAACCCUGCAGUGCAGGUUGCGGCCAGUGGGCCCGCGCAUGUCUAACCCCGCAGCCCGGAAGCGAUUCCGGCGCUCAUCAUGUCCCCAUGUUAAUCUCUCUUUUCAUCCAUAGAUCUCCGCAGCCAGCCGCAAGGUAAGGAUUGCUCACAGCUCCGUACUUCAUACUUCACUUCUUUUGGGGGUUCAUCAGAGCGGUUCUUUCCCUCCUGAAUGAUCAUCCUGCAAACCCGGGGCCUAAUCGCCAAAACAUCAUUACAGUUACUUGUUGUAAUACGUCAAUCACUAUUCCCGCAUAUCAUGUGUCCCGAUAAUAAACAUGUACUCAUACA
Gymnodraco acuticeps is the source of this 493-nucleotide long non-coding RNA. RefSeq lists it as uncharacterized. The transcript has 2 exons. Lineage: Eukaryota; Metazoa; Chordata; Actinopteri; Perciformes; Bathydraconidae. The record is from RefSeq and is a predicted model, not a curated record.